GGCCAUACAAAGUGAUAAUAAAGGAUAACCUCAUUCAUUAAUUACAACAAAAAGAGAGGUUACAAGAAUCAUAAUAUAUAUCUAUGAGCAUAAAACUCUCAUACAUUCAACUACUAAAAUAAAAUAGAAUAACUAAGCAACCUAAAAGUCUAGUACAAAAAGAUCAGAUCAGUAAGAGCAGGCAUCGAGUUCAAGAUCAAGAUAAGUGAAAUAUAAUUAGCCUCAUCCUCGACCAAAAGGUCUGGUCCAAGAAGAAGAUGUCGG
Molecule: long non-coding RNA, 264 nt
Filed under: Elaeis guineensis (African oil palm)
Lineage: Eukaryota; Viridiplantae; Streptophyta; Magnoliopsida; Arecales; Arecaceae
Description: long non-coding RNA (EGUI_LNC080159)
Source: RNAcentral